This 301-nucleotide ribosomal RNA is filed under the name uncultured bacterium. Its description in RNAcentral is "partial 16S ribosomal RNA". It matches the Rfam family "Bacterial small subunit ribosomal RNA", at positions 509 to 808 of the family's 1533-position model. The record is from RNAcentral.
CAGUCGCCGCGGUAAUACGAAGGGGGCUAGCGUUGCUCGGAAUGACUGGGCGUAAAGGGCGCGUAGGCGGAUGAUUCAGUCAGAUGUGAAAUUCCUGGGCUUAACCUAGGGGCUGCAUUUGAUACGUGUUGUCUAGAGUGAGGAAGAGGGUCGUGGAAUUCCCAGUGUAGAGGUGAAAUUCGUAGAGAUUGGGAAGAACACCGGUGGCGAAGGCGGCGACCUGGUCCUUGACUGACGCUGAGGCGCGAAAGCGUGGGGAGCAAACAGGAUUAGAUACCCGCGUAGUCCCUGUCUCUUAACA